UGUGACAACAAAACUUUUCCUUUGCUGCUCCAGCUAAUAGUGACGCAUAUGAUGGGUGAGCUUGGAAUGGCUAUGUAUGUUGCUGAUGCUGCAGGUCAUGUCAUGGAAACCGUGACCCCAGGAAAGAAGAAAGAAGUACCUCCAUCAAAAUUCCAAUCCAAGGGAGGAAAACAAAAAGAAAUGGUAAAACCUCACGUGGAGGAGAUUGUUGCAACAGAAGAGACACCAAAUCCUGAUGAAAUUCCUGUAGUGGGAGAAUGAGAGGGUGAUACAGAACCAAGUCAGGAGCCGAAAAAGCAGGAAAAAAGUGAUAGCGUGUAAUGUGUGCAUUACCAUGAGAAUACAAGUAUUUGGUAAAAUAUGUCUGACAGGUCCUCUGUAAGUUUUUGUGUCCACCUACCAUUAUAGUAUAUGUACUAUUUACUGUAAACUGAAAUACUCUCAAAGAAGUAAUAAUUGUGUGAGAUAUCAGAAUGGACACAUUAGGGAAAUGUAUCAUUCUUGCACGCCUUGUCGCACCUUUUGGUGCAAGUGUAGUUUUGUGCCAACAAUUUCAACUUUUUGCUCUUUUCUGCCACCCUCACCAUUUUAAGUACCACCCAAAGUCGAACACAUUUACCAACAUGUGCACAACAAGACUGACACCCAUUACACCUGAAAUCUAUGCCAGCUCCUUUGCUCCACUUUCUGGGACAUGGAACUCAUGAAGAUUCCCCAGAAUUAUUACCUUUUAAUACUUCUGGAGCAUCAUAUGAUAGCAGAGUUUGCUAUUAAGGCUGGCUUAAAAAGCCACUGUACCGUCACACAAUUGGUGUAACUAGCAAAUUUCCUAAUCAUUUCAUUUAAAAAUAUGCCUGCCUCAACCUGAAAAUUGCUGUAUAGUCAUGGCCACUAGGGGGUCUUACCUACACCUGGUGUCAGGCAAGAUCCGUCCCUGGUAACAGGGACUCAGAAGAUGGCUGAGAGGAAGUGGGAGGGGGUGGGUCGGAGCUAGCUGAGAUCUUGAGCCUGAUAAAACAACUGCUUCUACACAGCUUCUGAACAUCACAGGAGCCUCCUGUCUUUCUGCAAGUGUGAUUUACCCCUCCUUAUUUCUUCUGUAAGCUCCUGAGCUUCAAAAAUUAUAUUGUAAAGUAAAGGAAAGGAUGUAACAGCAGAACAGUGCUGGCAGAAGGACAAAACCCCCUGCUUCUGAGUGAAAUGCAUCUAGCUGUGCAGCUGAAAAGGGGGAAUAAUAUGGCUAAAUAAAAACAUUAGGGAAGCCCAAACAUAACUGUGCCUCACAGUUAUGAUUCUACAAAGAAGCAAAGCCAUUAUGCAAACUUUUUGUGAAAACUCAGGUAUGCGUUAAUAAAAACAAGUCUUUAUACAUACCCCUUUGUGUCUGGAUUUUCUUUCAACAGGAAAAUGUUAUAUAAAAGUGAGACUGCUUUUCAUUUCUCACUCCUGAGCUAUGUGAUAAGCCUCAUUCUAUGUUUGUCUUUUUUUUUGUUCUCUCUGAACAUUAACUAGAAUUCUUACAGAAAUACUGUAGCUAAUGCUAGCAGGGAUGGAUUAUCACCAUAAGAAAUAAAUGACAUACACUUUCAGAACAGAGGAAUGGCACAGAGUUCUAAGAAAAGAUGAUCCAGAAUUAUUAUUUUGAUGCAAGUAUGUCAGGGAUGACAGAUUCUGCUUGAGCAACACAUGUUUUAAAAAUGACUUCUAGUUUAGUAGUUUACCAUACUGUGAAAGGGCUGAUGACACCAAAUUUUUGUAGAGCCAUGACUGAAAAAUUCAAAACCUUCAGUCAUAAUCUAAACACAUCAAACCCUAUAGAAAAUAAUCUUUAAAGACACAGCGCCACUUUUGUCGAUAGAUGUGUUUGGUAUUACAGCUCAUCCCCUUUCAAAAGAAUAGGGCUGAGCUGUAAUACCAGUGACAGCCAGUAGCUGUUUCUGCAAACAAUAUCGGACAUACUGUAGUUUGUAAGGCUAAAAAAAAAAAGAUAUACGCCCAUUCAGAUCACCAUAUUAUCCUGCAAAGUCCAUGCAGAGAAAGGCAAAAAAAA
This is a long non-coding RNA of Bufo bufo (common toad), 2050 nucleotides long. RefSeq lists it as uncharacterized. The record is from RefSeq and is a predicted model, not a curated record. Lineage: Eukaryota; Metazoa; Chordata; Amphibia; Anura; Bufonidae. The transcript is spliced from 2 exons.